UCUGCAGUGAUGAACUGUUAGCAUGUAAGUAGAUUUGUAGGGUUUCUUUGAUGAAAUAUACUUGUUACACUUGGCUUCUGAGCUUU
Molecule: non-coding RNA, 86 nt
Organism: Populus trichocarpa (black cottonwood)
Lineage: Eukaryota; Viridiplantae; Streptophyta; Magnoliopsida; Malpighiales; Salicaceae
Source: Rfam